GACAAACAGGUCAGGUUAAGAUUUGUUUAGUAAAAAAGGAGGUUAGAUUAGUAGGAGUUGGAAAUUUGCUGUUUCUAUAGGGGUGAAAUCCGGAUAGAAGUAGUUAGGUUGUUGUUUUCGAUAUAUUGAAUCCUCGAAAGUUUUGUGUGGAAACCGGGAUUAGAUACCCCGUUAUUUAGUUCUGUAAAAUUUAAUUUAUUAAUUUACUUGGGGAUUACGUGUUACUGUUAGAAUUAGAGAUGUUUAGUUGUAAGUGGCUUAAAACUCAAAAAACUUGGCGGUGCUUCAAUUCUUUCCGGGGGAACCUGUCCUGUAAAUGAUGGUCCACGAUUUAGCUUACCUUUAGCUUGAAUACUAAUUAAAUUUAGUACAGUUUGUAUACCGUCGUCGUCAGAUUACCUUUAAGAGGUGAAAGAAGUUAUCAGGAGGAGCGGAGGGUUAACGACCAAGAUAUUUGUAUUUAAAUAGGUCGGCUUGAUGCUCUUGAUGUCAGAUCAAGGUGCAGCUUAUGCGGAGGAAGAGAUGGGUUACAAUAAUAAUUUAUUAAACGGAUUUCAUUUUGUAAGAGAUGAAUUGAAGGCGGACUCGGGAGUAAUAGAAUAGUGAAUUAUUAAAUAGAAAGUUUUUGUGAAGUAUAGUGCUGAAGUGCGU
RNAcentral lists this ribosomal RNA (651 nucleotides) under Calliostoma javanicum. Its description in RNAcentral is "partial 12S ribosomal RNA". The record is from RNAcentral. Lineage: Eukaryota; Metazoa; Mollusca; Gastropoda; Trochida; Calliostomatidae.